RNAcentral lists this ribosomal RNA (1490 nucleotides) under uncultured bacterium. RNAcentral describes it as "partial 16S ribosomal RNA". It matches the Rfam family "Bacterial small subunit ribosomal RNA". The record is from RNAcentral.
UCGCCCUUAGAGUUUGAUCCUGGCUCAGGAUGAACGCUGGCGGCGUGCUUAACACAUGCAAGUCGAACGGGAUCCAUCGGGCUUUGCCUGGUGGUGAGAGUGGCGAACGGGUGAGUAAUGCGUGACCGACCUGCCCCAUGCACCGGAAUAGCUCCUGGAAACGGGUGGUAAUGCCGGAUGCUCCAUCACACCGCAUGGUGUGUUGGGAAAGCCUUUGCGGCAUGGGAUGGGGUCGCGUCCUAUCAGCUUGAUGGCGGGGUAACGGCCCACCAUGGCUUCGACGGGUAGCCGGCCUGAGAGGGCGACCGGCCACAUUGGGACUGAGAUACGGCCCAGACUCCUACGGGAGGCAGCAGUGGGGAAUAUUGCACAAUGGGCGCAAGCCUGAUGCAGCGACGCCGCGUGAGGGAUGGAGGCCUUCGGGUUGUAAACCUCUUUUGUUAGGGAGCAAGGCACUUUGUGUUGAGUGUACCUUUCGAAUAAGCACCGGCUAACUACGUGCCAGCAGCCGCGGUAAUACGUAGGGUGCAGGCGUUAUCCGGAAUUAUUGGGCGUAAAGGGCUCGUAGGCGGUUCGUCGCGUCCGGUGUGAAAGUCCAUCGCUUAACGGUGGAUCCGCGCCGGGUACGGGCGGGCUUGAGUGCGGUAGGGGAGACUGGAAUUCCCGGUGUAACGGUGGAAUGUGUAGAUAUCGGGAAGAACACCAAUGGCGAAGGCAGGUCUCUGGGCCGUUACUGACGCUGAGGAGCGAAAGCGUGGGGAGCGAACAGGAUUAGAUACCCUGGUAGUCCGCGCCCGUAAACGGUGGAUGCUGGAUGUGGGGCCCGUUCCGCGGGUUCCCGUGUCGGAGCUAACGCGUUAAGCAUCCCCGCCCUGGGGAGUACGGGCCGCAAGGGCUAAAACUCAAAGAAAUUGACGGGGGGCCCGCACAAGCGGUGGAGCAUGUGGUUUAAUUCGAAGCAACGCGAAGAACCUUACCAGCCCUUGACAUCCAAUGAGCUUUUUAGAGAUAGAUUUCUGCUUUGGAGAACAUUAAGACAGGUGCUGCAUGCAUGUCGUCAUCUGGUGUCGUGAGAUGAUGGGGUAAGUACUGUAGCGAGGACAACCCUUGUCGUUAGUAGCCAGCAUGUAAUAGUGGGCCCUUUUAAGAGGCUUCCGGUGGCAAACCGGAGGAAGAGGGGGAGAAGGUCAAGUCUUCAUGUCCCCUACGGCGUGGGGUACACACGUGUUACAAUAGUCGGGACAGAGUGGUUACAGAACCGCGAGAGGUAGAUAAUAUCCAUAAAAAGCCUUGUAAUCUGGGUUUGCAGUCUGCAACUCGAGUGCAUGAAGUCGGAAUCGCUAGUAAUCGUGAAUCAGAAUGUCGCGGUGAAUACGUUCCCGGGCCUUGUACACACCGCCCGUCACACCAUGGGAGUGGGUUGCACCAGAAGUAGCUAGUCUAACCUUAGGGAGGCAGGUUACCACGGUAGGAUUAAUGACUGGGGUGAA